Molecule: ribosomal RNA, 452 nt
Filed under: Bacillus amyloliquefaciens
Lineage: Bacteria; Bacillati; Bacillota; Bacilli; Caryophanales; Bacillaceae
Description: bacterial SSU rRNA
Rfam family: Bacterial small subunit ribosomal RNA
Source: RNAcentral
AGGACGAACGCUGGCGGCGUGCCUAAUACAUGCAAGUCGAGCGGACAGAUGGGAGCUUGCUCCCUGAUGUUAGCGGCGGACGGGUGAGUAACACGUGGGUAACCUGCCUGUAAGACUGGGAUAACUCCGGGAAACCGGGGCUAAUACCGGAUGCUUGUUUGAACCGCAUGGUUCAGACAUAAAAGGUGGCUUCGGCUACCACUUACAGAUGGACCCGCGGCGCAUUAGCUAGUUGGUGAGGUAACGGCUCACCAAGGCGACGAUGCGUAGCCGACCUGAGAGGGUGAUCGGCCACACUGGGACUGAGACACGGCCCAGACUCCUACGGGAGGCAGCAGUAGGGAAUCUUCCGCAAUGGACGAAAGUCUGACGGAGCAACGCCGCGUGAGUGAUGAAGGUUUUCGGAUCGUAAAGCUCUGUUGUUAGGGAAGAACAAGUGCCGUUCAAAUAGG